AUCACAAUCUGCUAUUUCAUCAUGGCAAAAAGAAAGCAAAGAAGCCCCAAAAAGAGUCACUUUGAUGAAAAGCUCCUUGGCCACCCACUUCAGUAGAACCGAGAACCUUCAAUCAAGCCAUGCUUCUCCCAGGACUUUCAAACAACAUUAGAACAUGUGUUCAGUAUGUUUCCAGAAGGGACUGGGCCAACUCUGUAACUAGGCAAAGCCUAAGGCUGCACAAGGUACGAGGAAAUACGAUCGCUAAUGCAAGUAGGAGAGCAGGAAGAAGAGAGAGGCAUGG
Long non-coding RNA from Hyla sarda, 283 nucleotides. RefSeq lists it as uncharacterized. The record is from RefSeq and is a predicted model, not a curated record. Lineage: Eukaryota; Metazoa; Chordata; Amphibia; Anura; Hylidae. The transcript has 3 exons.